This 515-nucleotide ribosomal RNA is filed under the name uncultured bacterium. Its description in RNAcentral is "bacterial SSU rRNA". It matches the Rfam family "Bacterial small subunit ribosomal RNA", at positions 997 to 1509 of the family's 1533-position model. The record is from RNAcentral.
UUUCCAGAGAUGGAUUGGUGCCCUUCGGGGAAACUCUGAGACAGGUGCUGCAUGGCUGUCGUCAGCUCGUGUUGUGAAAUGUUGGGUUAAGUCCCGCAACGAGCGCAACCCUUAUCCUUUGUUGCCAGCGGUCCGGCCGGGAACUCAAAGGAGACUGCCAGUGAUAAACUGGAGGAAGGUGGGGAUGACGUCAAGUCAUCAUGGCCCUUACGAGUAGGGCUACACACGUGCUACAAUGGCGCAUACAAAGAGAAGCGACCUCGCGAGAGCAAGCGGACCUCAUAAAGUGCGUCGUAGUCCGGAUUGGAGUCUGCAACUCGACUCCAUGAAGUCGGAAUCGCUAGUAAUCGUGGAUCAGAAUGCCACGGUGAAUACGUUCCCGGGCCUUGUACACACCGCCCGUCACACCAUGGGAGUGGGUUGCAAAAGAAGUAGGUAGCUUAACCUUCGGGAGGGCGCUUACCACUUUGUGAUUCAUGACUGGGGUGAAGUCGUAACAAGGUAAGCGUAGUGCU